ACUAAUCAUAACAGAGCAUAGUGUGACUCCCUCCACCUACAAUAUGUUCAGGUGUCACUUCCCCUGAUUUCACUGUUCCGGUACCUGGCUCUGUUCAGAAACCAGUACCAGAGCUGUAAGAUUCUGGAAUAGUCUCAUCCAUGGCAACCACAGUGACAGCUGAGCCACGACAUUACCCUGCUUUGAAUGAUGGGGUGCUGAGGAUUGUCUGGAAUAUCUUACAGAAAAGCACCAAUAUUUGCCGUUUUCCUUGUCUGUGGAUUUACCAAAACAAGAGCACACACACACACACACCCCCCCCCACACACACACACACACACACACACAAACACACACACACACACACACACACACACACACACACACACACACACACACACACACACACACACACACACACACACACACACACACACACACCUUCCUUCCAGGCGUUUUCAGUACUAUUUGAUGCCUCUUCCUCUUGCUGACCUGGCCUCUCACCUUAUCCUUCUGACUCUAUUGGCUGACUCUUAUUGUGCUCUGCUUGUAUCAUAUCUAGGAACGCUUUACUGACGUUUGACGUGUGUGUGUUCACGUUUGUCCAGACACGCACAUACUGAGCAGCCGUGUCCCAGGACACGGCUGCUGCUGCUAUUGUUGUCAUUUACUAGGGUCCAAGCAAUUUUUAUUUUUGAACGGUUACUUUAAACCAACAAACCAAACUAACUAAACACUGCCAAGGUCCAGAUUGGUCCAUUGAGUAAAGGACACAAGGCCAUGCUGGGCAGACUCGGGCCAAGUUAAUCUCACUCCAAGGUUGAAUAAACAUUUGUGCUGCCAACAUUCAAACUGCUUCUGAUUACCUUAACUGGGGUGCGUUCAGUUGAUCAACAAAGGAACAAGAAGAAAUCGUGAGUUAGUUUCACAUUUAAUGAUAAUCAUUUAAUUUGUUUGACACUAUCAUGUAUCUUUACAUUUUUAUGCAGCACAGUUGCAGUUGUAAAACAAGUCUUGGGGCGAAAGUGGAGGUGAACCAACACAAUCUACACAGAGUAUGCACGUGGCCAGUGUUGUUUACUGACAACACAUUCAGCAUUGACACACGCAGUAUUUAGUUUAGUAGUUCAGUUUUAACGGUUUUAGUUUGUCUUAUGAAAUCAUCAUUACUGUUAUUCAGUACUCAAACAAAAGUGAAGUGUCUUAAAAACUAGACAUCAGUACAAUGUUUGACAUUUGUCAUAAACUGCUGACAGCAGGAACACAUGACUUUUGAUAACACAUUACCACAAACGCAUGAUUCCACCUUUUUCAGCAUUUUUCACGACACCCCCAAACGACAACAGAGCAGUUACAAUUAUUGAAUGAAUUAAUCAUCAAAUGUACAUUGGAAUUACUCCUUUUUUAUUUUUUGGCACAGCAAUACAUUGUCUAUGAGGCUGGAGAUAAAAAGGAAAAAGAGUUAAUGGACACUGAUUUCAUGUGAACUACUGUGUGUGCCUACAAUGAUGAGCUCAGCUUCUGUCAAGGCAGUGAACUCAUGAAUCUUCAGUUGUCUGCUUGCAGAACUAGACAAGUUAGGGAGGCUGAACUGACAGAGCUGGUGAAGUGUCUGCAAUACCUCCAUUUCUAUGGCGCCUCUCUUUUUUUCCUUCAGCUUCUCUUUUAAGCACACAUGAACUGCUUCUUCCAUCUCACAUUACAUUACCUUGCAGAGCUUCUGGAUGACACUCAGGAUAAGCACGAGUGACAAUGGUUUAGCACUGGAGGUAACAUUUUUCCUAUUAAUGUAAGUGGGCAACACAGUGGUCACGUCUACAACAAGAGGAGGAGGGUCACACCCUUAGCUAAGGUUGGUUACAUGUCUUUGGCUUGGAGAGUCUAUGUCCUCACUAAGCAUACAGUACCUGUUGUCGACUGUUGAGACGAAACAUUUAGGAAUGAAAAGUAGUUAGUGGACCUGUCCAGGGUGUACCCCGCUUCUCGCCCAUAGCCAGCUGGGAUAGGCUCCAGCACCCCCGCGACCCCGCAUAUGGGAUUAAGCAGUAUGGAAAAUGGAUGGAUGGAUGAAUGGAAGUAGUUAGUGCUAUGACUGGAGAGUCUUCAACCAUUUAUCCAAGCAACCAUCACAGAUGAGACCAUAGAUAAGGCUGCAAGCUGCAGCCUGACUGACAUAUAUUAGUGCUACAUAAUAGGCUGCGAUUGGACAUAGUCAGUCAAUCUGUGUUACUGUGGCUUUAUGAUCUUUAUAAUUCUGUCGCAGGUGAGGUAACACUAUGACCGUGUAAAGGCAGAUUCAAAGUGAUAUGUGAAAUAAGAAGUUUGUCUUAAAGAACACACAACAAAAGGGUCGUUUUCUAUGUGAACAUGUUUAAAAUACGAGUGAUUACUGUAAAGUGCAGUUUUAAAAUAUUGCAAAUCCGGCGAUAACACACGGUUUUUAGUUUAAUAGUUCAGUUUUAGCUGUUGCAGGUUUUGGGGGAAGGGGUGAUUGUCCUGACAGUUACAGUCACACCACAAAAAUAUUAAGGUUUGAUUGUCAAUUACAAUGAGAUGACAGUAUGUAAGAUUAAAUACAUAUAAAAAGCACUGAACAGCACCAAGCUCAUAAUGGUUAGCACUCACAGCACAAUAUUUUAAUGCAUCUAACACAACAAAGGUUUGAAAAAAAUGCUGAUAAAUGCAUGUGUUGUGUGUGGUACAAGUAGUGCAGGAGAGUUGGCCUGUACUUCUUAUCAUGCAUCUAUUGUACAAGACAAGACAAGACAAGAUAUUUAUUAAUCCCACAAUGGGGAUAUUCCUUUGAUAUUGAUGCAUGGAAGAUAUGGAUUCAAGGUGUAUGUGAUAGAAAAUGAAUACUAGGGGUAGGCGAAUCAAUCCUAAUAUCAAUACCAAUGCUAAUAUUAAUGUCUACUGAUACCCUGACAAAAAUAUCGAUACUUUGGUUGAAUUUUUAUUCCUUCGCACUGCUGCCGUUUUUUCAAAGACACGACCUACUGUAACUAGCUUGUCUGUCUGUGUGUAAGUGGCGUGCCUGCACCUGUAUGCCAGAGCGAGGCAGAGACACACCAGCCUCCUUCCAUCCCCCACCUCUGAGAUCUCAUGUGACCCACCGACUCGGGCCACCAAACAAACAAGUGUUGGGGAUAUGCGAGGAUCACAAAUUAUAAUAAUUGGAUUUAUAGCUCCUGAGUGGAGAUACCACUUAUGUUUAUAAUUUAGAUUGACAAAAGUUGUUAUAUAUAUAAUAUAUAUAAUAAUCACAGACAAUGACCAAUUAAAUUCCGCUUUAUUAAACAACUAAUAUUAACUCCAGUAUCAACAAUAUCUUGAAUAACUCAGCAUAGAUAAAAGGGUGUGUGUUUGUGUGUGAGUGAGUGAGUGUCUGGCGCUCACAGAAAAAGGAAGCGUGUGAAGCAAUGUGAAGUGGAACUACCGUAACUAAGACUUGUAGUUUCACAAACACGUGGGGCUAUAUUCAGCAAUAUAGUCAAGUAAAUGCGGAAGCACGCAGUAAUUGAAUCAUGCGCUUGGCGUGGUCACAGCAGAAACAGAGCAACAGCACAGUACCACAAUAAAGCAAGCUUAAGCUAGCACAAUCAUAGAUUACAGCACUUCAAUAUGCACCCCUUAGAUUCAUGUGACAAUGUCCACGUUGGUUCUGCUGCUGGAGGCUCCAGGCGUGCCGGGGGCAGAAGGCAAGGAGGUGAUGGAGAGAAGAAGGAGAACAAGGGGGUCCGGAGAGAACAAGGGGAAGAGAGAGCAAGAGAAGAAAGAAAGGGGGCACAUCCCAGUUACCUAAAUGCAAGGUUGGUACACAAACAUCUGUCCAGCUCAGGAGUGAAGGUGAUGGUGAGCACAGCCACAGCUUCCAUCUGGUAGACGACUGCUUCCGCUCAGUCUUCCAAGUAGUGAUAAGAACAAAGAUCACCACAUCUCCCUGGUCACCUGUCUACAACUAUACCUGUCCUGCUGCAGUAACAAAUCUGCAACAUAACGAGUUUACCCCCUUCCCAGGACAUGAUCUGUUUAUCCUACUUCCAUCAAGCAUUUCAUCUGCAAGGCCCUGCAAAAGCUUCUGUCCUCAAACCCCCAGACUUCUGAAUUAACCCAGUAACCUAUACAUCACACAUUGGAGUGUGAAGAUAACAGUUAGGUCUAGCUUUGGGGUAGUGGUGCAUUUUGUGGUUGACAAUAAAAUUGGCUUUAACUAUUACGUAUGUCACUGAACUCUGUUUUUCUGAGGGGAAAACACUUUUAUUUAGGAAAUCAUAGUAUUGAUUUUUUUUGUUUUUCUCUUUCUAGUAUAAAGGUGAA
Betta splendens (Siamese fighting fish) is the source of this 4296-nucleotide long non-coding RNA. RefSeq lists it as uncharacterized. The record is from RefSeq and is a predicted model, not a curated record. The transcript has 3 exons. Lineage: Eukaryota; Metazoa; Chordata; Actinopteri; Anabantiformes; Osphronemidae.